GACGUAGGGAGCGAGCGUUGUCCGGAUUCAUUGGGCGUAAAGAGCGCGCAGGCGGUUUGGUAAGUCGGAUGGGAAAUCCCGGGGCUCAACCCCGGACCUGCAUCCGAUACUGCCCGACUAGAGGUAGGUAGGGGAGAUCGGAAUUCCUGGUGUAGCGGUGAAAUGCGCAGAUAUCAGGAGGAACACCGGUGGCGAAGGCGGAUCUCUGGGCCUUACCUGACGCUCAGGCGCGAAAGCUAGGGGAGCGAACAGG
This 253-nucleotide ribosomal RNA is filed under the name uncultured bacterium. RNAcentral's name for it is "partial 16S ribosomal RNA". It matches the Rfam family "Bacterial small subunit ribosomal RNA", at positions 524 to 776 of the family's 1533-position model. The record is from RNAcentral.